This 445-nucleotide ribosomal RNA is filed under the name uncultured bacterium. Its description in RNAcentral is "partial 16S ribosomal RNA". It matches the Rfam family "Bacterial small subunit ribosomal RNA", at positions 354 to 796 of the family's 1533-position model. The record is from RNAcentral.
GUGAGGAAUAUUGGUCAAUGGACGGAAGUCUGAACCAGCCAUGCCGCGUGCAGGAAUAAGGUCCUAUGGAUUGUAAACUGCUUUUAUUCGGGAAUAAACCUCUUUACGUGUAGGGAGCUGAAGGUACCGAAGGAAUAAGCACCGGCUAACUCCGUGCCAGCAGCCGCGGUAAUACGGAGGGUGCAAGCGUUAUCCGGCAUCAUUGGGUUUAAAGGGUCCGCAGGCGGGCUAUCAAGUCAGAGGUGAAAUCCCACAGCUUAACUGUGGAACUGCCUUUUAAACUGAUGGUCUUGAAUUAAGUGGGCGUUGGCGGAAUAUGACAUGUAGCGGUGAAAUGCAUAGAUAUGUCAUGGAACACCGAAAGCGAAGGCAGCUAACGAUACUUAUAUUGACGCUCAUGGACGAAAGCGUGGGUAGCGAACAGGAUUAGAAACCCCGGUAGUCC